CUUUAUUGAGACCUUUCCUGGGUCAUAGAAAAGCAGCAAACCACGUGGUUUGGUACAAGGCAAAGGACGGAGGGAUGCAGGGCACCCCUCACCGCCGGGGCCCUCUUCUGGGCUUCGGGCCUCCCUGGUUAGCACAGCUGGGCCGCGUUCUUAGAGCAUACACCUGAGAGCUCAGCAUCAAGCUAAGCCAACCCGACAAGGAAACGACUGGGGGGACGAGGGUCAAGGUUCAGCGCCUGGGCCUCUGUCGCCCACAACCCCAAGGCCUCAUAUCCUCAGAGGCCAGGGUUCGAGCUCAGCUCCCGGAGGGUGCGCAGGCGGACAAAGCCCGCCCCCGGCCCGCAGGCCCCGCCCUCAGUACAGGUCCGAGAAAGGCUUGGAGUAGUUGAACAUCAGGUAAUCCAUGUAGUAGAAGUCGUAGGCGCGCUGCCGCUGCAGGGAGGACAGCUGGGCGAAGUAGCGACGGGUGAUGCUGGCCGUGGUCCUCGCCUCCUGGGAGUGCCUGUCCUUGAACCUGGGGAACGUCAGGUUCCCGGGCGCCUGGAUGAGGCGCAGGAAGAAGUUGGCAUCGCCCUCCAUGCUCUCGAACUUGCCCACGAAGUCGUAGUCGAUGAGGCAGGGGCUGCACAGCCGGCUCACGUGGUCCCAGUGGAUGUCCAUACCCACGGGCCGGUGAACGUCCAGCAGGUACUGGACGAACUCGGGGAAGCGCACGCCCGAGCCGGUCCGCAGCGCCUCCAGGGAGGCGUUGGCCCGGUAGCGGGCCAGGAUGGCCUUGCCGAAGACGGGAUGGUAGUAGCUGUUGGGGUGCUCGAACUUGUCCCGGAAAGCCGAGACCAGCCGCUCGAAGGGUUCGCGGACGAAGAGCAUCUUGGUGUAGGUGCUGAGGCGGUGCACGAUGCCCUGGCGGUCGAAGGUGUCCAGGCGCUUGAGGGCGCUGCCGUAGUGCACCGUGUUGUGCUGGAUGUCCGCGGUGGAGGAGGCCAGGCCCGCCAGCACCAUCAGCACCCGCUUCCAGUUGGAGCAGCCGGCUUUGGGCACCUCACAGUACAGCACGCGGUGGCGGUCCUCCACGAAGAUGCGCGACACGUGGCGGGGGGUGACGGCCCGGCGGCUGCUGCUGGCCCUGUACUUGGCGCAGGCCUCUCGCAUCACGCGCUUGCGCUCCUGCUGGGUCUGGUGCAGGCUGACCCAGCGGCUGUCCG
This 1205-nucleotide long non-coding RNA is filed under the name Meriones unguiculatus (Mongolian gerbil). RNAcentral's name for it is "lncRNA (ENSMUGG00000014673.1)". Lineage: Eukaryota; Metazoa; Chordata; Mammalia; Rodentia; Muridae. The record is from RNAcentral.